Molecule: long non-coding RNA, 1260 nt
Organism: Hippoglossus stenolepis (Pacific halibut)
Lineage: Eukaryota; Metazoa; Chordata; Actinopteri; Pleuronectiformes; Pleuronectidae
Exons: 2
Source: RefSeq, a predicted model, not a curated record
UUGGUCUAGCAUAUCUAUCCAAGAGACUUAUUUGUUUGUUAUGAAAAGACACAUGUCCCCAUCGAUUUUUGUACAUGUCGGCCAAUCGUGGUGUCGGGGCUGCCCUUUAGGGGGCGCUAGUCAGUUACUUUGCCACGCCCAUUGGCAAAAUAUCUUAAUAAUUCCUUAAAACCAUAUGAAUAUUUUCAGGGGGGGGGGCUGUUGAUACACAAAUGUAGUUUGAGGGAGGUUGAACCUCGAACACUGAAGUUACAGCAAUUUCGUGUGUCACGGCGAGUUGAUGAACUUUGACGCCACGCCACUAUUAUGGCGUUUGAUGAAAAGUCACAGUAAUCUUAUGCCGUCAUUAUCAAAGUCUUGAGACCCGUUUGACACAGUUUGAUAUGGUUGCAGUAAGUGGAUGAGGAGGAAUACAUCCAAGUGGAAGACAUGCAAAGAACACCGUCGGUGCUCGGGCCCUAAUAACGUCAAUGACUAUGUCAAAAGUAACAAUAGUAACACUAAUACUGAAAAACAAGCCUUCAACCACAGACUGUAAAUGAGGAUUGACGACAUGUCAGCUCCCCCUGCUGUUUGGCUGCAGUACAGGUUCUAAACCCUGCCUCCUCCAUGUUAGCAGAUGGGACAUGGGUUAAACUAAAAAGUCAAAAUCAUCGUCGUCCAUCUUUAUUUACUGUCUAUGCCUCCAACGUACACAUGUUAACCCUUUAAUACACCGGUGGGAUGAUGUUGCUCACUGUUCUGUGUUUAUUUGUUCUUCUCUUGUCGCUGCAGCACCGAGCUGCACCCCCCACAUGCUGCUGUGAUGGAGUCUCUGCUGUCAGGGGACGACCUCGGUGCUUCUCAGUCUUAAUGAUGACAAUCGCACCACAACACUUGUUUCCUGUUCAGUCCUGUGGGAGGUUAGAAAAAGAAGCUGCACGGGAUGGUCGAUGUUGAACAAACACCUCAGCAGCCGGGAGGAGGAGACAUGUCAUCACAGCCGCUCACCGUGGAUUCACCGUUUCACGAUGUUUGGUGGAGAACUAGUUCAUCCUGAUGUCAUCAUGUUUACUUUGACAUUUUAAAUUUUUGUCUUAUUGUCUUUAUCCUAAAUGUGAUGAUACUUGAGCUGUGUUUCAAAGACAUGUUUGUCAAACAUUAAAGCACAUUUUUUUACUUUUACACAACCUGGGCCUUGGUGUCAUUGGUAUUUCCAGGAAGUAUUAAAGUUUCACACUGUUUGACGUCUGUGACGAAGGAAAUAAAGGUUCAGCUCUG